GGUGGCGGCGGCGGUGGUGGCGGCGGCGACGUUGGCAGCGGGGAGCGCAGCACCUCGGAGGGGCGAUGAGCUUCUCGCUGCAGCUUCCAGCAUCUCACCAGGACCAGAACUUUAACCCCGGCCUGAGAUUAGGAAAUGCCCCCUCCCUGAAGAAGCAGAGACGCUCCCAGGGGCCCCCCAGUAGGGACGGAAGGGGCAGGGGGUGGAGGGGGGUAGUGCAGAACUCUGGAGAAGAGGCACCUAGGCUGGGUUUAGCACUUUGGGAGGGGCUUCGUCUGGUUCCCCGACCCCACUGCCCGCCCCAACCAGGUGGAAUGGGAGCAGACAGACUAGCCGGCUGGUACAGAGGAGCUGGGCCGGGGGAGGAAGAAGGAACCUGGCAACCCUGGACAAUGUUACUUACCAGGAUAUUAGAGUUCCUGUGGCUGAUUCACUCUCUCUAGCAUGCACAUAAGCAUAACAUCACAGCUUCUUCUCUUGGAUUUCAGAAGUUGAAGAAAACUUAAAAGUUUUGGUAAUCAGUCCAAUACCUUUGUACAGAUAAGGAAACCGGGGGCUCAGUAUUUUCUACAGCAACUUAGAUCUAAUUUACUUAGUUUUCAGGGUCCUGUUGAGGCUGGGGACAGGACUUAUUACAAUGGUACUAGAAAAGGAUGUUAAAAAGAACUAAUUGUGUGGGGGUGCAUGGGGAGGAGCUGCAUAUAUUGUGAAGUAAAAUAAAUCCUGGUGAUAGAGAAUGGGGACUCA
This 747-nucleotide long non-coding RNA is filed under the name Phascolarctos cinereus (koala). RNAcentral describes it as "lncRNA (ENSPCIG00000031249.1)". The record is from RNAcentral. Lineage: Eukaryota; Metazoa; Chordata; Mammalia; Diprotodontia; Phascolarctidae.